Molecule: small nuclear RNA, 162 nt
Gene: U1
Rfam family: U1 spliceosomal RNA
About the family: U1 is a small nuclear RNA (snRNA) component of the spliceosome (involved in pre-mRNA splicing). Its 5' end forms complementary base pairs with the 5' splice junction, thus defining the 5' donor site of an intron. There are significant differences in sequence and secondary structure between metazoan and yeast U1 snRNAs, the latter being much longer (568 nucleotides as compared to 164 nucleotides in human).
Source: Ensembl
AAAAUUACCUGGAAGGAGCGAUACCUGGUCACGAAGGAGGUCUUCCCAGGGCAAGGCUCAUCCUCUGCUGUCAGAUGUGCUCACCCCUGUGGUUUCCCAGAAUGUGAGAAACUCAACUGAUCAUGUGGUAUUGUAUCGUCCGGGACUGUGGUCAGUGUUGUA